GACGAACGCUGGCGGCGUGCUUAACACAUGCAAGUCGAACGGAAAGGCCCUGCUUUUGUGGGGUGCUCGAGUGGCGAACGGGUGAGUAACACGUGAGUAACCUGCCCUUGACUUUGGGAUAACUUCAGGAAACUGGGGCUAAUACCGGAUAGGAGCUCCUGCUGCAUGGUGGGGGUUGGAAAGUUUCGGCGGUUGGGGAUGGACUCGCGGCUUAUCAGCUUGUUGGUGGGGUAGUGGCUUACCAAGGCUUUGACGGAUAGCCGGCCUGAGAGGGUGACCGGCCACAUUAGGACUGAGAUACGGCCCAGACUCCUACGGGAGGCAGCAGUGGGGAAUAUUGCACAAUGGGCGGAAGCCUGAUGCAGCGACGCCGCGUGCGGGAUGACGGCCUUCGGGUUGUAAACCGCUUUCGCCUGUGACGAAGCGUGAGUGACGGUAAUGGGUAAAGAAGCACCGGCUAACUACGUG
This 468-nucleotide ribosomal RNA is filed under the name uncultured bacterium. Its description in RNAcentral is "partial 16S ribosomal RNA". It matches the Rfam family "Bacterial small subunit ribosomal RNA", at positions 28 to 507 of the family's 1533-position model. The record is from RNAcentral.